AUACACAAGUCUGUUAAGAAUGAAUCCUUAAAUAAGGCUUUUAAGGAUUAAGUCCUUAACUCCUCAUCUCCUCCCCACCCCAGGAUCAACAUCCUCUCCACCCUACGAUCAACAUCAUCACCAAACCACUUUCGAUCAAAAAAACUCUCUCGAGAGAGACGAAACCAAUGGCGCCUUCUUCCUCAAGCGGCCUCACCGAGGAAUCACAGUAGAAAUCACGGCCGAGGAAAUUGAAGCCGACGCUGAUACCGGUGGUGGCCAGAGUUAGAGCGAAGACGGCGGCAAGACGCAGCCUGGCCUGGUCUUUAUCCCUCCGAAUACCAGAAAGGCGCCGCCACUUUCCAGAAUCGCUUCCACAGAGCUCUCAACUCAGACGCCUUAUCCAGAAAUUUUUGCUGGAUGUGUCGUUGUUAUCUACAUUGAUUUAGAUGUCUAUAUGUCUAGUUGGGUGGCUAGAUGUGUCGUUGUUAUUGAAUCCUUAAAAAGUGUAGAACUUUUCAAGCACAAGUCGCUAUACAUUAAUGGCAAUCUGUCUAUUUAGUUUUUGUUUUGCAUAUAAGAAACAGAGGAGCCUUUAUUGUUUUUUGUUCUUGGACUUUGCUCUAUGUUUCUGCUUUGUUACUGUUAUCAUCAUUACAUCAUAAAAUUUGUUCCUUUAAGUUUUCUUCACUUGCAUCUCUGUGGAUUAUCCCCUCUGCUGUGUAUCAUUGAGUUUUAGAUAUGCAGAGCCUUAAAGUUUUCGACUUUUGUUAAAUUAAUAAGCAGGAAAGUAAAUGAGGAAGAAGGUUGAGUGAUUGGUAAAUGAUCUUGAAGUUCUUAACUUUCUUUUCUUUUUGGUGUGUAAGGAUUGUCAUCAAGCUCUUGUCUUAAGCAACGGCCAAUGCCGAUGGACAACAUCCGCAUUACACCUGAAGCAACCUAUGAAGCUGUGAUUGCUGACUCUAAACUGUUCAUGGGUUCCUUGGAGAGGCUACACUCUCAAGUGGGUACUAAAUUCAUGGGAGAUGGAAAGAAGCAUGAGUGAAAAGGAAGGUGUAGCUUUCAGUGAAGCUCAAUGGCAGGAGCUUGAGAGACAGAGGAAUAUAUACAAGUACAUGAUGGCUUCUCUUCCUGUUCCUUCUUAGCUUCUUACACCCUUCUCAAAGAACCCAUCACACACCAACCAUCAACAUGGAUUGGCCUUAUGGAUCCGUGUUGCACAUGCUCUAAAAAGAUAAAUGAAACUAUUUGAAGUGUAUGUAUCCGUCCCUUCCUUCCCAAGCAAACAAAGGAACGUGACAGAAAAUUCAUAGGUAUCAACAAUAAACGAGGAACAGUUUACGGUUUUAACUACUCUUAUAUCUUCACAACUUCUCUUGCUUGCUUCUUCAGCAUUGUGUCUGAUAUGACUACUAGUAGUAAUAAUAAAAUUUGUAUCAUUCGGAAAGAAUUAUUUCCUUAUUUAUUGAUGUGUCUCGUCGGUGAUAUGGUAGAAACGAUAAGCGUUACUACAGAAGACCUAUGGAAAACAGCUAAUAAUAUUUUCAAAUACGUUCCCAUGCAUAUCUUGACGAACAAAUUUGAUACACAACCAGAAUCUAAUGUCAGUAUCAUUGAGUGCGUCGCGUGAACCCAUUAACCAAGCAUAUUGGAAAAAACAGUAGGGUAUGUGUUUAGCUGUUUCUUUAGUUAAUAUAUGUCUAUUCUUUCAAUAUCUCUAAACUCGAGUUCAUAUUUGAUUGUGAUGUUCAUUCGACUCGGAAUCUUGGAUCAUCAAUAUGGAAGAUGAAAACGUUCGAAACAAGAAGGAAGCAUGUCCCUCUCUAAGGCCUUAGGUCUUGAGUAAUGAUAUUGAUCAUCACUCAAGAGUCAUUGCAUCGGUGAAGGUGAUGUACCAACAUGGUUUGCUAACUUCUAGUUUUUAUAUAACUAGAUGAUUUUACCAUGGUCACUGCUAUAAAUAUUUAUAAAAUAAUUAGUUAUAUGAAUAAAUGUUGUUGUGAAUUCAAUUCAUUAUGUUUUGUUAUUAUUUCUUUUGGACAAGGCUUAUGAAAACCUA
This is a long non-coding RNA of Raphanus sativus (radish), 2038 nucleotides long. RefSeq lists it as uncharacterized. The transcript is spliced from 4 exons. Lineage: Eukaryota; Viridiplantae; Streptophyta; Magnoliopsida; Brassicales; Brassicaceae. The record is from RefSeq and is a predicted model, not a curated record.